Molecule: ribosomal RNA, 1556 nt
Filed under: Salmonella enterica subsp. enterica
Lineage: Bacteria; Pseudomonadati; Pseudomonadota; Gammaproteobacteria; Enterobacterales; Enterobacteriaceae
Also listed under: 4 other names
Description: bacterial SSU rRNA
Rfam family: Bacterial small subunit ribosomal RNA
Source: RNAcentral
UUAAAUUGAAGAGUUUGAUCAUGGCUCAGAUUGAACGCUGGCGGCAGGCCUAACACAUGCAAGUCGAACGGUAACAGGAAGCAGCUUGCUGCUUCGCUGACGAGUGGCGGACGGGUGAGUAAUGUCUGGGAAACUGCCUGAUGGAGGGGGAUAACUACUGGAAACGGUGGCUAAUACCGCAUAACGUCGCAAGACCAAAGAGGGGGACCUUUGGGCCUCUUGCCAUCAGAUGUGCCCAGAUGGGAUUAGCUUGUUGGUGAGGUAACGGCUCACCAAGGCGACGAUCCCUAGCUGGUCUGAGAGGAUGACCAGCCACACUGGAACUGAGACACGGUCCAGACUCCUACGGGAGGCAGCAGUGGGGAAUAUUGCACAAUGGGCGCAAGCCUGAUGCAGCCAUGCCGCGUGUAUGAAGAAGGCCUUCGGGUUGUAAAGUACUUUCAGCGGGGAGGAAGGUGUUGUGGUUAAUAACCGCAGCAAUUGACGUUACCCGCAGAAGAAGCACCGGCUAACUCCGUGCCAGCAGCCGCGGUAAUACGGAGGGUGCAAGCGUUAAUCGGAAUUACUGGGCGUAAAGCGCACGCAGGCGGUCUGUCAAGUCGGAUGUGAAAUCCCCGGGCUCAACCUGGGAACUGCAUUCGAAACUGGCAGGCUUGAGUCUUGUAGAGGGGGGUAGAAUUCCAGGUGUAGCGGUGAAAUGCGUAGAGAUCUGGAGGAAUACCGGUGGCGAAGGCGGCCCCCUGGACAAAGACUGACGCUCAGGUGCGAAAGCGUGGGGAGCAAACAGGAUUAGAUACCCUGGUAGUCCACGCCGUAAACGAUGUCUACUUGGAGGUUGUGCCCUUGAGGCGUGGCUUCCGGAGCUAACGCGUUAAGUAGACCGCCUGGGGAGUACGGCCGCAAGGUUAAAACUCAAAUGAAUUGACGGGGGCCCGCACAAGCGGUGGAGCAUGUGGUUUAAUUCGAUGCAACGCGAAGAACCUUACCUGGUCUUGACAUCCACAGAAGAAUCCAGAGAUGGAUUUGUGCCUUCGGGAACUGUGAGACAGGUGCUGCAUGGCUGUCGUCAGCUCGUGUUGUGAAAUGUUGGGUUAAGUCCCGCAACGAGCGCAACCCUUAUCCUUUGUUGCCAGCGGUUAGGCCGGGAACUCAAAGGAGACUGCCAGUGAUAAACUGGAGGAAGGUGGGGAUGACGUCAAGUCAUCAUGGCCCUUACGACCAGGGCUACACACGUGCUACAAUGGCGCAUACAAAGAGAAGCGACCUCGCGAGAGCAAGCGGACCUCAUAAAGUGCGUCGUAGUCCGGAUUGGAGUCUGCAACUCGACUCCAUGAAGUCGGAAUCGCUAGUAAUCGUGGAUCAGAAUGCCACGGUGAAUACGUUCCCGGGCCUUGUACACACCGCCCGUCACACCAUGGGAGUGGGUUGCAAAAGAAGUAGGUAGCUUAACCUUCGGGAGGGCGCUUACCACUUUGUGAUUCAUGACUGGGGUGAAGUCGUAACAAGGUAACCGUAGGGGAACCUGCGGUUGGAUCACCUCCUUACCUUAAAGAAGC